GACGAACGCUGGCGGCGUGCUUAACACAUGCAAGUCGAACGGAAAGGCCCUGCUUGUGGGGGGUGCUCGAGUGGCGAACGGGUGAGUAACACGUGAGUAACCUGCCCUUGACUUUGGGAUAACUUCAGGAAACUGGGGCUAAUACCGUAUAGGAGCUCCUGCUGCAUGGUGGGGGUUGGAAUGUUUCGGCGGUUGGGGAUGGACUCGCGGCUUAUCAGCUUGUUGGUGGGGUAGUGGCUUACCAAGGCUUUGACGGGUAGCCGGCCUGAGAGGGUGACCGGCAACAUUGGGACUGAGAUACGGCCCGGACUCCUACGGGAGGCAGCAGUGGGGAAUAUUGCACAAUGGGCGGAGGCCUGAGGCAGCAACGCCGCGUGCGGGAUGACGGCCUUCGGGUUGUAAACGGCUUUCGCCUGUGACGAAGCGUGAGUGACGGUAAUGGGUAAAGAAGCACCGGCUAACUACGUG
RNAcentral lists this ribosomal RNA (468 nucleotides) under uncultured bacterium. RNAcentral describes it as "partial 16S ribosomal RNA". It matches the Rfam family "Bacterial small subunit ribosomal RNA", at positions 28 to 507 of the family's 1533-position model. The record is from RNAcentral.